This 497-nucleotide ribosomal RNA is filed under the name uncultured bacterium. RNAcentral's name for it is "partial 16S ribosomal RNA". It matches the Rfam family "Bacterial small subunit ribosomal RNA", at positions 28 to 507 of the family's 1533-position model. The record is from RNAcentral.
GAUGAACGCUGGCGGCGUGCCUAAUACAUGCAAGUCGAGCGAACAGACGAGGAGCUUGCUCCUCUGACGUUAGCGGCGGACGGGUGAGUAACACGUGGAUAACCUACCUAUAAGACUGGGAUAACUUCGGGAAACCGGAGCUAAUACCGGAUAAUAUAUUGAACCGCAUGGUUCAAUAGUGAAAGACGGUUUUGCUGUCACUUAUAGAUGGAUCGGCGCCGCAUUAGCUAGUUGGUAAGGUAACGGCUUACCAAGGCAACGAUGCGUAGCCGACCUGAGAGGGUGAUCGGCCAAACUGGAACUGAGACACGGUCCAGACUCCUACGGGAGGCAGCAGUAGGGAAUCUUCCGCAAUGGGCGAAAGCCUGACGGAGCAACGCCGUGUGAGUGAUGAAGGUCUUCGGAUCGUAAAACUCUGUUAUUAGGGAAGAACAAAUGUGUAAGUAACUAUGCACGUCUUGACGGUACCUAAUCAGAAAGCCACGGCUAACUACGUG